Molecule: long non-coding RNA, 508 nt
Organism: Oncorhynchus tshawytscha (Chinook salmon)
Lineage: Eukaryota; Metazoa; Chordata; Actinopteri; Salmoniformes; Salmonidae
Source: Ensembl
GGAGGAGGUGUAGAGGUGGUGAGGGGAGGAGUGGUAGAGGUGGUGAGGGGAGGAGGUGUAGAGGUGGUGGGGGGGGAGGAGGAGUAGAGGUGGUGAGGGGAGGAGGUGUGAGGGGAGGAGGUGUAGAGGUGGUGAGGGGAGGAGGUGUAGAGGUGGUGAGGGGAGGAGGUGUAGAGGUGGUGAGGGGAGGAGGUGUAGAGGUGGUGAGGGGAGGAGGUGUGAGGGGAGGAGGUGUAGAGGUGGUGAGGGGAGGAGGUGUAGAGGUGGUGAGGGGAGGAAGUGUGAGGGGAGGAGGUGUAGAGGUGGUGAGGGGAGGAGGUGUAGAGGUGGUGAGAGGAGGAGGUGUAGAGGUGGUGAGGGGAGGAGGUGUAGAGGUGGUGAGGGGAGGAGGUGUAGAGGUGGUGAGAGGAGGAGGUGUAGAGGUGGUGAGGGGAGGAGGUGUAGAGGUGGUGUGGAGAGGAGGUGUAGAGGUGGUGUGGGGACGAGGUGUAGAGGUGGUGAGGGGAGG